UACGUAGGGGGCGAGCGUUGUCCGGAUUUAUUGGGCGUAAAGAGCUCGUAGGCGGCUUGUCGCGUCGACUGUGAAAACCCGCGGCUCAACCGUGUGGUCUGCAGUCGAUACGGGCAGGCUAGAGUUCGGUAGGGGAGACUGGAAUUCCUGGUGUAGCGGUGAAAUGCGCAGAUAUCAGGAAGAACACCGAUGGCGAAGGCAGUGGGCUGGGCCGGUACUGACGCUGAGGAGCGAAAGCGUGGGGAGCGAACAGG
Molecule: ribosomal RNA, 254 nt
Filed under: uncultured bacterium
Lineage: Bacteria
Description: partial 16S ribosomal RNA
Rfam family: Bacterial small subunit ribosomal RNA
Source: RNAcentral